RNAcentral lists this ribosomal RNA (1172 nucleotides) under Campylobacter jejuni. RNAcentral describes it as "partial 23S ribosomal RNA". It matches the Rfam family "Bacterial large subunit ribosomal RNA", at positions 1 to 1193 of the family's 2925-position model. Lineage: Bacteria; Pseudomonadati; Campylobacterota; Epsilonproteobacteria; Campylobacterales; Campylobacteraceae. The record is from RNAcentral.
AGGUAAGCUACUAAGAGCGAAUGGUGGAUGCCUUGACUGGUAAAGGCGAUGAAGGACGUACUAGACUGCGAUAAGCUACGGGGAGCUGUCAAGAAGCUUUGAUCCGUAGAUUUCCGAAUGGGGCAACCCAAUGUAUAGAGAUAUACAUUACCUAUAUAGGAGCGAACGAGGGGAAUUGAAACAUCUUAGUACCCUCAGGAAAAGAAAUCAAUAGAGAUUGCGUCAGUAGCGGCGAGCGAAAGCGCAAGAGGGCAAACCCAGUGCUUGCACUGGGGGUUGUAGGACUGCAAUGUGCAAGAGGUAAGUUUAGCAGAACAUUCUGGAAAGUAUAACCAUAGAGGGUGAUAGUCCCGUAUGCGAAAAACAAACCUUAGCUAGCAGUAUCCUGAGUAGGGCGGGACACGAGGAAUCCUGUCUGAAUCCGGGUCGACCACGAUCCAACCCUAAAUACUAAUACCAGAUCGAUAGUGCACAAGUACCGUGAGGGAAAGGUGAAAAGAACUGAGGUGAUCAGAGUGAAAUAGAACCUGAAACCAUUUGCUUACAAUCAUUCAGAGCCCUAUGUAGCAAUACAGGGUGAUGGACUGCCUUUUGCAUAAUGAGCCUGCGAGUUGUGGUGUCUGGCAAGGUUAAGCAAACGCGAAGCCGUAGCGAAAGCGAGUCUGAAUAGGGCGCUUAGUCAGAUGCUGCAGACCCGAAACGAAGUGAUCUAUCCAUGAGCAAGUUGAAGCUAGUGUAAGAACUAGUGGAGGACUGAACCCAUAGGCGUUGAAAAGCCCCGGGAUGACUUGUGGAUAGGGGUGAAAGGCCAAUCAAACUUCGUGAUAGCUGGUUCUCUCCGAAAUAUAUUUAGGUAUAGCGUUGUGUCGUAAUAUAAGGGGGUAGAGCACUGAAUGGGCUAGGGCAUACACCAAUGUACCAAACCCUAUCAAACUCCGAAUACCUUAUAUGUAAUCACAGCAGUCAGGCGGCGAGUGAUAAAAUCCGUCGUCAAGAGGGAAACAACCCAGACUACCAGCUAAGGUCCCUAAAUCUUACUUAAGUGGAAAACGAUGUGAAGUUACUUAAACAACCAGGAGGUUGGCUUAGAAGCAGCCAUCCUUUAAAGAAAGCGUAAUAGCUCACUGGUCUAGUGAUUUUGCGCGGAAAAUAUAACGGGGCUAAAGUAAGUA